CCUAAAGUUCCCAUGGCAAACUGCUCAGUAACACAUGAUCAACUUACCCUAUAGAGAAAAAUAACCUCGGGAAACUGAGGAUAAUGUUUCAUAGUUGAAUUGGCUUGGAAAAGUUUUUCGAUGAAAGGGAUAAAAAGAAUGGUUUUUAUCUGCUAUAGGAUAGGAUCGUGUUCGAUUAUGGUUGUUGGUGAGGUAAUGGCUCACCAAGCCGAUAAUCGAUAGGGGCCGUGAGAGCGGGAGCCCCGAGAUGGGUACUGAGACAACGACCCAGGCCUUACGAGGCGCAGCAGGCGCGAAACCUCCGCAAUACACGAAAGUGUGACGGGGUUACCCAAAGUGUUCAAUUUUGAACUGUGGUAGGUGAGUAAUGUUCCCUACUAGAAAGGAGAGGGCAAGGCUGGUGCCAGCCGCCGCGGUAAAACCAGCUCUUCAAGUGGUCGGGAUAAUUAUUGGGCUUAAAGUGUCCGUAGCCGGUUUAGUAAGUUCCUGGUAAAAUCGGGUAGCUUAACUAUCUAUAUGCUAGGAAUACUACUAUACUAGAGGGCGGGAGAGGUCUGAGGUACUACAGGGGUAGGGGUGAAAUCUUAUAAUCCUUGUUGGACCACCAGUGGCGAAGGCGUCAGACUGGAACGCGCCUGACGGUGAGGGACGAAAGCCAGGGGAGCGAACCGGAUUAGAUACCCGGGUAGUCCUGGCCGUAAACGAUGCAUACUAGGUGAUGGCACGGCUAUGAGCCGUGUCAGUGCCGUAGGGAAACCGUUAAGUGUGCCGCCUGGGAAGUACGGUCGCAAGGCUAAAACUUAAAGGAAUUGGCGGGGGAGCACCACAAGGGGUGAAGCCUGCGGUUCAA
RNAcentral lists this ribosomal RNA (850 nucleotides) under uncultured archaeon. RNAcentral's name for it is "bacterial SSU rRNA". It matches the Rfam family "Archaeal small subunit ribosomal RNA", at positions 58 to 905 of the family's 1478-position model. The record is from RNAcentral.